This 497-nucleotide ribosomal RNA is filed under the name uncultured bacterium. RNAcentral describes it as "partial 16S ribosomal RNA". It matches the Rfam family "Bacterial small subunit ribosomal RNA", at positions 28 to 507 of the family's 1533-position model. The record is from RNAcentral.
GAUGAACGCUGGCGGCGUGCCUAAUACAUGCAAGUCGAGCGAACGGACGAGAAGCUUGCUUUUCUGAUGUUAGCGGCGGACGGGUGAGUAACACGUGGAUAACCUACCUAUAAGACUGGGAUAACUUCGGGAAACCGGAGCUAAUACCGGAUAAUAUUUUGAACCGCAUGGUUCAAAAGUGAAAGACGGUCUUGCUGUCACUUAUAGAUGGAUCCCCGCUGCAUUAGCUAGUUGGUAAGGUCACGGCUUACCAAGGCAACGAUGCAUAGCCGACGGGAGAGGGGGAUCGGCCACACUAGAUGGUGAACAGGGACCAUGCUCCUACGGUAAGGAGCAGUAUGGAAUCUUCCGCAACGGGCGAAAACCUUACGGAGCGGCGCCACGUGAGAGAUAAAAGUCUUCGGAGCGUGAAGAUCUGUUAUGAGGUGAGAACAUAUGUGUAAGUAGAUGUGCACAGCUUGACGGUACCUAGUCAGAAAGCCACGGCUAACUACGUG